UACAUGUGGGGCAAGCGUUGUUCGGAAUUACUGGGCAUAAAGGGUGCGUAGGCGGGUCUUUAAGUCAGGGGUGAAAUCCUGGAGCUCAACUCCAGAACUGCCUUUGAUACUGGUGAUCUUGAGUCCGGGAGAGGUGAGUGGAACUGCGAGUGUAGAGGUGAAAUUCGUAGAUAUUCGCAAGAACACCAGUGGCGAAGGCGGCUCACUGGCCCGGUACUGACGCUGAGGUGCGAAAGCGUGGGGAGCAAACAGG
This 253-nucleotide ribosomal RNA is filed under the name uncultured bacterium. Its description in RNAcentral is "partial 16S ribosomal RNA". It matches the Rfam family "Bacterial small subunit ribosomal RNA", at positions 524 to 776 of the family's 1533-position model. The record is from RNAcentral.